Molecule: unclassified non-coding RNA, 283 nt
Filed under: plant metagenome
Description: partial contains small subunit ribosomal RNA, internal transcribed spacer 1, and 5.8S ribosomal RNA
Rfam family: Eukaryotic small subunit ribosomal RNA (bases 1-53)
Source: RNAcentral
GGAAGUAAAAUCGUAACAAGGUUUCCGUAGGUGAACCUGCGGAAGGAUCAUUAUUGUAUAACCGAGGUGCGAGGGCUGUCGCUGACCCGAAAGGUCGUGCACGCCCGAGUGCCCUCACACACAUCCAUCUCACCCCUAUGUGCACCACCGCGUGGGUCCCCCUUUGGCUUGUUCGGAGGGGGGCUUACGUUUUCACACAAACUCUGUAUGCAGUGUAGAAUGUAUUUUUGUUUUUGCGAUCACGCAAUCAAUACAACUUUCAACAACGGAUCUCUUGGCUCUC